Molecule: transfer RNA, 73 nt
Filed under: Zootermopsis nevadensis
Lineage: Eukaryota; Metazoa; Arthropoda; Insecta; Blattodea; Termopsidae
Rfam family: tRNA
About the family: Transfer RNA (tRNA) molecules are approximately 80 nucleotides in length. Their secondary structure includes four short double-helical elements and three loops (D, anti-codon, and T loops). Further hydrogen bonds mediate the characteristic L-shaped molecular structure. tRNAs have two regions of fundamental functional importance: the anti-codon, which is responsible for specific mRNA codon recognition, and the 3' end, to which the tRNAs corresponding amino acid is attached (by aminoacyl-tRNA synthetases). tRNAs cope with the degeneracy of the genetic code in two manners: having more than one tRNA (with a specific anti-codon) for a particular amino acid; and 'wobble' base-pairing, i.e. permitting non-standard base-pairing at the 3rd anti-codon position.
Source: Rfam by way of RNAcentral
GAUGAGGUGGUGUAGCGGUUAGAACGCUGGCCUUGUAAUCCUGGGGUCUCGGGUUCGAUUCCCGGCGGUGUCC